UCAAACUUGGUCAUUUAGAGGAAGUAAAAGUCGUAACAAGGUCUCCGUAGGUGAACCUGCGGAGGGAUCAUUACCGAGUGAGGGCCCCGGCCCGACCUCCAACCCAAUGUUUCUAUCACCUCGUUGCCUCGGGGGCGACCCGGCAUCCGGGCCCCCCGGUGGACCAGCCCAACUCGAUUUUGGAAUGCGUCUGAGUGAAGAUUUUAAAUGAAGCAAAACUUUCAACAACGGAUCUCUUGGUUCUGGCAUCGAUGAAGAACGCAGC
RNAcentral lists this unclassified non-coding RNA (265 nucleotides) under uncultured fungus. Its description in RNAcentral is "partial contains small subunit ribosomal RNA, internal transcribed spacer 1, and 5.8S ribosomal RNA". The stretch from base 1 to 73 matches the Rfam family "Eukaryotic small subunit ribosomal RNA", at positions 1759 to 1831 of the family's 1831-position model. Lineage: Eukaryota; Fungi. The record is from RNAcentral.